RNAcentral lists this ribosomal RNA (382 nucleotides) under Tsukamurella sp. RNAcentral describes it as "bacterial SSU rRNA". It matches the Rfam family "Bacterial small subunit ribosomal RNA", at positions 1009 to 1392 of the family's 1533-position model. Lineage: Bacteria; Bacillati; Actinomycetota; Actinomycetes; Mycobacteriales; Tsukamurellaceae. The record is from RNAcentral.
CGGUUUGCCUUGUGCCUUCUAUACAGGUGGUGCAUGGCUGUCGUCAGCUCGUGUCGUGAGAUGUUGGGUUAAGUCCCGCAACGAGCGCAACCCUUGUCUCAUGUUGCCAGCACGUAAUGGUGGGGACUCGUGAGAGACUGCCGGGGUCAACUCGGAGGAAGGUGGGGAUGACGUCAAGUCAUCAUGCCCCUUAUGUCCAGGGCUUCACACAUGCUACAAUGGCGCGUACAGAGGGCUGCGAUACCGUGAGGUGGAGCGAAUCCCUUAAAGCGCGUCUCAGUUCGGAUUGGGGUCUGCAACUCGACCCCAUGAAGUCGGAGUCGCUAGUAAUCGCAGAUCAGCAACGCUGCGGUGAAUACGUUCCCGGGCCUUGUACACACCG